Molecule: ribosomal RNA, 309 nt
Filed under: Triticum aestivum (bread wheat)
Lineage: Eukaryota; Viridiplantae; Streptophyta; Magnoliopsida; Poales; Poaceae
Description: partial small subunit ribosomal RNA
Source: RNAcentral
AUGAAUGUGGUCCAUCAUUUUAAGCUCAAGCCUGCUUUCAAAAGCAUCUGGACCGCGCUGGCACGUAUUAACCACUACAAAUACCAAGCUUGGUCGGAGUUCAAAGUCAAGUUCAAGAGGCGCGUGUCCGCUUAUGUGGCUGAUUGGAAAGAUCCGAUCAACCUCGACUCAAAGGACCGGGCUCCUGGCUUAGGAGUUGAUGACACCGAACCAAAAGGCUGGGCCCAAAGAUACUGCGAGGUUAAAGACAAUAUCCUUCAGCUGUUAACUGCAAGAUGGUUCGGUGUCGGAUUUGGGAACCCUCAUUAG